Molecule: small nuclear RNA, 34 nt
Filed under: Cervus elaphus hippelaphus
Lineage: Eukaryota; Metazoa; Chordata; Mammalia; Artiodactyla; Cervidae
Source: RNAcentral
UCACUUCUCAGCCUUAUGGCUAAGAUCAAGUGUA